This is a long non-coding RNA of Chlorocebus sabaeus (green monkey), 1073 nucleotides long. RefSeq lists it as uncharacterized. NCBI's taxonomy places the organism in Eukaryota, Metazoa, Chordata, Mammalia, Primates, Cercopithecidae. The record is from RefSeq and is a predicted model, not a curated record.
AGCCAGGAUGGUCUCGAUCUCCUGACCUCGUGAUCUGCCCAGCUCGGCUUCCCACAGUGCUGGGAUUACCGGCGUGAGCCACCGUGCCUGGCCACAAACGCCCAUUUAAGGUGCUUUUAGAAGGAUCCACAUGGGGACAGAAUGUUGUUUGUUCUCCACGAGAUCAAGCCCACAUUCUAGGGUCUGCUCUUUAGCACCCAAUUCCUGCCACUGGUAUUUCUCUUCUGGCUCUUUUUGGUGAUUAUAACCUAAAAGUAGGCUCAUUAAAGGACAAAGAGAAGGCCUUGGAGCCUCUGGAGAACCAGAAAGGCAGGCCUGGGGCUUUGGCAUCAAGGACCACCACCCAGAUGGUGCUCCCAACAGAUCCAGCCAAGAUGCCAUGGCUGUGUGAGCAUUUGCUUGUGGGGACAGCCUGCACCGCAGGCCCCACCAGAAUGGGCCCUGGGCAGUCCCUCCUUCUUACUCCAAGUCUGAUAGGCAGAGCCCACAUCCUGGACCUACACUGAGCUGCAGGGGCCCUGGGAAGCCAGCACUGCAGUGAGAGCCACUACAGUGGAAAGAGGCAGCCAAACACUGGCCACAGCCACAGUCCCCAUGUGUGGAAAAACUAUGAGGUGGAUUCCAGAUGAUCUCAGGCAACUGAGAGGAGCUAUCCAGGGACCAGUGUGAGCAAAGCAGCUAACUGCACGAGGACAAGGAGGACUAACCGAGGGCCAAGCCCAGCAGGCAGCGGACAGGGCUUCAGGGACAACUGCAGUGACAGGCACUUUAGGAGAGACCACGUUGCUAUGUUCACAUUACCUGUCCCAGAAAUGCCCGGGCCAGGGGGACUGCUGGCUGGUCGAAAAACUCCAACCCCAGUCGGGUAAGGUGGCCCUUCGGGCUUGAGAAAUAGAUGCUGCAGUAUGGGCCCAGGGUGGUGGGUGGUCCCAAACAGGGCUCCUUGGGGCAAGGCGCCUGGGCUGUGUCAGACGGGCUGUGUGGCUGCUCCGCUUUGGCUAGUCGCUGCUUUUUUUGCCCCAUCCUUCGGGAAAACUGUAAUGGGAAAAAUAAAUAAAUAAGCAUCCAAAUAG